CUGUUAAAUAAUAAAUAUAUAUUCAAAAGGAUUAGAUAGUUAUUCUACAUAAUAAAUAGAGAACUGAAGCAUAAACCGAAUAUGAUGAAACUACUAUAAAUUCAAUGUUCUAUAAGAAGGUCCUUAUAUAAGAACAAACAAAACAGUUUUAGGUUAAAUAUUUGCAUCAAAUUCUUGCAUUCAUUAUUUCAACUAUAUAUAUAUAUAUAAUUUAAUUGACUUUGCAUAAAUUUUAAUAUAGAUAUUUAAUUUAAUAACUGUUUGUAUUUGUUUUAUAUAAUAUCAAACUUAUAUUAGCUAGAGCCAACCAAAUAAGUUGAAUGUCCACAGUGCUCAAGGCACUUUGAAGUGCCUGAAUUUUGGAGCUUCAUGCCAUUGGAGGAUAAUCAAUGGUUUUAGAAAAUAUUGCAACUCCAAUAAAAAGAUUAACUUAAUGGGGAAUGCUUCUGCCCCAACAGUUUAUUCUGGGAAUUAAAUUAUCGUCCAUUUUCUCCAUUUGUUCAUACCAAAAAAAUGAAAUUGCAAUUAGAAU
Molecule: unclassified non-coding RNA, 532 nt
Filed under: Hevea brasiliensis (rubber tree)
Lineage: Eukaryota; Viridiplantae; Streptophyta; Magnoliopsida; Malpighiales; Euphorbiaceae
Source: RNAcentral